This 339-nucleotide ribosomal RNA is filed under the name Triticum aestivum (bread wheat). RNAcentral's name for it is "partial small subunit ribosomal RNA". Lineage: Eukaryota; Viridiplantae; Streptophyta; Magnoliopsida; Poales; Poaceae. The record is from RNAcentral.
AUGCACAAUUUCCACAAUGUUGUAUACAAAGAUGUUCCUACUAGGUAUUCUGACGUUGAUUAUCUAAAAGAAAGAGCAAUUCUAACACCAACGAACCAAGUAGCUGAAAAUUAUAAACGAGUGCGUUCUAUCUUUAGUGCCUACCACAGCAAACUAAACAGGUUGGUUAGGAAACUGAAGCUGCAGCUACUGAAGAGCCAAAGAACAUUCUUGUUGAACAGUCUAAAGCCAAGAGGAUACAGAUAUGUGAUUCUCAUGUGGUCCUUUCGCUGGAAACUUGCUAAUCUUAGGGGUGCUGCUACUGGUGUAAAAACCGUUUUAUCAAAAGAACUAAAGUAG